RNAcentral lists this small RNA (567 nucleotides) under Pan troglodytes (chimpanzee). RNAcentral describes it as "retained intron". Lineage: Eukaryota; Metazoa; Chordata; Mammalia; Primates; Hominidae. The record is from RNAcentral.
UGAACUUCUAGGACUUUGGAAGCUCAGUGAGUUCACCAGUCCCUGGAGAACCUCCAUGACGGCAUGCCUGCCUCGAACGGAAAGGCUGCCCAUCUGCUCUUCACCCUCCUCUGCUCUCCAUCAUUCUCCUUUUCCCUUCUGUUUGGGCAGCAUUAAGGAGGGCAUAGACCGGACCGUCCUGGGGAUCCUGGUGUCUUACCAGAUCAAGGUGAAGCUCACAGUGUCAGGCUUUCUGGGAGAGCUCACCUCCAGUGAAGUCGCCACUGAGGUCCCAUUCCGCCUCAUGCACCCUCAGCCUGAGGACCCAGCUAAGGAAAGUUAUCAGGAUGCAAAUUUAGUUUUUGAGGAGUUUGCUCGCCAUAAUCUGAAAGAUGCAGGAGAAGCUGAGGAGGGGAAGAGAGACAAGAAUGACAUUGAUGAGUGAAGAUGUCGGCUCAGGAUGCCGGAAAAUGACCUGUAGUUACCAGUGCAACAAGCAAAGCCCCACAGUUUAGUCCUUUGGAGUUAUGCUGCGUAUGAAAGGAUGAGUCUUCUUCCGAGAAAUAAAGCUUGUUUGUUCUCCCCUGG